RNAcentral lists this ribosomal RNA (497 nucleotides) under uncultured bacterium. RNAcentral's name for it is "partial 16S ribosomal RNA". It matches the Rfam family "Bacterial small subunit ribosomal RNA", at positions 28 to 507 of the family's 1533-position model. The record is from RNAcentral.
GACGAACGCUGGCGGCGUGCCUAAUACAUGCAAGUAGAACGCUGAAGAGAGGAGCUUGCUCUUCUUGGAUGAGUUGCGAACGGGUGAGUAACGCGUAGGUAACCUGCCUUGUAGCGGGGGAUAACUAUUGGAAACGAUAGCUAAUACCGCAUAACAAUGGUUGACACAUGUCAUUUAUUUGAAAGGGGCAAUUGCUCCACUACAAGAUGGACCUGCGUUGUAUUAGCUAGUAGGUGAGGUAAUGGCUCACCUAGGCGACGAUACAUAGCCGACCUGAGAGGGUGAUCGGCCACACUGGGACUGAGACACGGCCCAGACUCCUACGGGAGGCAGCAGUAGGGAAUCUUCGGCAAUGGGGGCAACCCUGACCGAGCAACGCCGCGGGAGGGAAGAAGGGUUUCGGAUCGUAAAACUCUGUUGUAAGUCAAGAACGGGGGUGAGAGUGGAAAGUUCACACUGUGACGGUAGCUUACCAGAAAGGGACGGCUAACUACGUG